Molecule: ribosomal RNA, 496 nt
Filed under: uncultured bacterium
Lineage: Bacteria
Description: partial 16S ribosomal RNA
Rfam family: Bacterial small subunit ribosomal RNA
Source: RNAcentral
GAUGAACGCUGGCGGCGUGCCUAAUACAUGCAAGUCGAGCGAACAGACGAGGAGCUUGCUCCUCUGACGUUAGCGGCGGACGGGUGAGUAACACGUGGAUAACCUACCUAUAAGACUGGGAUAACUUCGGGAAACCGGAGCUAAUACCGGAUAAUAUAUUGAACCGCAUGGUUCAAUAGUGAAAGACGGUUUUGCUGUCACUUAUAGAUGGAUCCGCGCCGCAUUAGCUAGUUGGUAAGGUAACGGCUUACCAAGGCAACGAUGCGUAGCCGGCCUGGGAGGGUGAUCGGCCACACUGGAACUGAGACACGGUCCAGACUCUUACGGGAGGCAGCAGUAGGGAAUCUUCCGCAAUGGGCGAUAGCCUGACGGAGCAACGCCGCGUGAGUGAUGAAGGUCUUCGGAUCGUAAAACUCUGUUAUUAGGGAAGAACAAAUGUGUAAGUAACUAUGCACGUCUUGACGGUACCUAAUCAGAAAGCCACGGCUAACUACGU